Molecule: ribosomal RNA, 500 nt
Filed under: uncultured Halobacteria archaeon
Lineage: Archaea; Methanobacteriati; Methanobacteriota; Halobacteria
Description: bacterial SSU rRNA
Rfam family: Archaeal small subunit ribosomal RNA
Source: RNAcentral
CGAGUGCGAGGGCAUACAACGCCCUCGCUUUUGUAGACCCUAAGGCGGUCUACGAACAAGUGCUGGGCAAGACCGGUGCCAGCCGCCGCGGUAAUACCGGCAGCACGAGUGAUGGCCGCUAUUAUUGGGCCUAAAGCGUCCAUAGCCGGCCAGUCAAGUCUGUUGGGAAAUCGACGUGCUCAACGCGUCGGCGUCCAGCGGAAACUGACUGGCUUGGGGCCGGAAGAUCUGAGGGGUACGUCCGGGGUAGGAGUGAAAUCCCGUAAUCCUGGACGGACCGCCGGUGGCGAAAGCGCCUCAGAAAGACGGACCCGACGGUGAGGGACGAAAGCUAGGGUCUCGAACCGGAUUAGAUACCCGGGUAGUCCUAGCUGUAAACGAUGCUCGCUAGGUGUGCCGCAGGCUACGAGCCUGCGCUGUGCCGUAGGGAAGCCGAGAAGCGAGCCGCCUGGGAAGUACGUCUGCAAGGAUGAAACUUAAAGGAAUUGGCGGGGGAGCAC